This 589-nucleotide long non-coding RNA is filed under the name Gallus gallus (chicken). RNAcentral describes it as "lncRNA (ENSGALG00010009933.1)". The record is from RNAcentral. Lineage: Eukaryota; Metazoa; Chordata; Aves; Galliformes; Phasianidae.
CUGCUAUGUGUGGGGUUGCCAAUCACUAGACCAGGCUGUCCAGAGCCACAUCCAGCCUCCCCUUGAAUGCGUUCAGUGAUGGGGCAUCCACAACCUCUCUGGGCAACCUGUUCGAGUGCGUCACCAUCCUCUGAGUGAAAAACUUCUUCCUAAUAUCUAACAUAAACAUUCCUUCUCUUAGUUUAAAACCAUUCCCCCUUGUCCUGUCACUAUCCAUCCCUGUAAACAGCCAUUCCCCUUCCUGUUUAUACGCUCCCUUCAAGUACUGGAAGGCCACAAUGAGGUCUCCCCAGAGCCUUCUCUUCUCCAAACUAAACAAGCCUAGUUCCCUCAACCUUUCCUCAUAGGAGAGGUGCUCCAGCCCUCUGAUCAUCUUAGUGGCCCUCCUCUGGACCUGCUCCAAGAGCUCCACGUCCUUCUUGUACUGGGGGCCCUGUACUCCAGAUGGGGCCUCACAAGAGCUGAGUAGAGGGAAAAAAUCACCUCCCUCUCCCUGCUGACCACCCCUUUUUUAUUGCAACCCAGAAAACAGUUGGCCUUCUGGGCUGCAAGUGCACACUGCUGGCUCACGUCCAGCUUCUCAUCUACC